Molecule: long non-coding RNA, 1011 nt
Filed under: Mus pahari (shrew mouse)
Lineage: Eukaryota; Metazoa; Chordata; Mammalia; Rodentia; Muridae
Description: lncRNA (MGP_PahariEiJ_G0033003.1)
Source: RNAcentral
AACAAAAAUUAAUUUCAGAUAAAUCAGAAUCCUAAUCAUAAAGCUAAACCGUAAAUACCGGAGAAUUUACUGAUGAUGUGGGGACUGAUAGUUUCUAUACAAGCUGUAAAAAGUGGGAUGAGAAGGAAAAUUGAUGUUCUGUACUUAAUUUAAAAUUUUUAAAUGUUCAUUAAAAGAUACCACUAAGAAAAUGAGUAAGUCAAGCCAAUCGUGGUUAGCACAGGCAUAUAAUUCUAGCUGUUCAUGAAGCUGAAGCACAAAGAUUGCAAAUUUAAUAGCAGCCUGGGAACAUAGUGAGACCCUAUCUAAAACUUGGAAAAUGUAUUUAAAGGAGCUAUAGGUCAGUGGUAGAGCACUUGUAGAGCCCUGAGAAAGGAAGAUGAGAAAAAAUUAAUAGACCAAGACUCAGGUUUUGCAGUAUAUAAUUAACAGAGGAAUUACUGUAAGAAUCUAAAAAGAACUAUUUAAGGAAUUUUAAAAAACUUUUUAUGUAUAGAUGUUUGGUAUAUCUAUGAACCACCUGCGUAUGUUAUCUACAUAGGCCAGAAGAGGGCAGCAGAUCUCCCUGGCACUAUUAGAGUUAUAAAAGGUUGUGAGCCACCAUGUGGUUGUUGAGAACCAAACAGGGGUCCUCUGCAAGAGCAGUAAGUGCUCUCAAUAGCUGAGCCACUGCCCCAUCCCCUAUAAAGAAGUGAUUUAUAAUUCAAUAAACAUGUGUGUAUAUAUACAUAUAUAUAUUAGAGAGAGAGAAAGAGAGAGAGAGAGAGGCUAAAAACCAUUUAUUUUGCUUUCAAAACCUUCUGGAAUGACUACGAAAAUAAAAAAUAAAACAAUUAGUGUGGGUAAAUAUGGAUACAAAUAGUAGCUCUUCCAUAUUAAUGUGCAGAUUGAAAAAUGGUGCAGCCACUUUGGAAAACAGUUUGUCAGUUUCUUAAAAUGGUAAAUAUAGGGGGUUUCUGUGGGGGGCGGACUAGGAAAGGGGAUAACAUUUGGAAUGUAAAUAAAAUAUCC